GAAACAGACUCAGAAGGAAGUGAUGGUGAAUUCUCUCAGCAGCUCCAACCUCCAGAUCUCAACACUCGCUGUCGCGGCGACGGGGGUCUCAGCAACUUCAGGUCACUCUGAAACCGCUGGCUGAAAGCUCGUAUAAUUCCUCUGGUGAAGAGAGUGAAAACGAGGGCUUCUGCCCCCUAACAGAAGGCACAACGAGCGCAGGAGAAUGUCUUGGCAUCACAACCAAUAGCGAGUGUAGUUAUAGCUCUGACAAUAACUAUGAACACUUUGAUAAUGAUAGCCCGUUUGCUUGGGAACUUGAACAGUCUCCAACUGUGAUUCUUAGUCCUAGCUGUGCAGCCUCUGACAAAGUGAGUUGUACGAUGUGGGAGAAACGAGAAAUAAAAAAGCUGAUCUCUCUGUCUUAGAUAUAAGUUCUGCAAUCAUAGCGAGAGUCGAAGCUAUGCCUGAGCAUUUAGAUUAUUUCUACGGAGGUUUAGUAAUAUCUGUAGUCCUGGCAGCAGUGCCUUCGUUGUGCCGUCUAAUGGAGUCGUUGAAUGAUACACUAGCUGCACCUCAAAUAACAGUUGAGCUGUCGUCAUUAGAUACUCAGUCAUUUUUAGAAAGUGCUUACAGUUUUUUGUCAGCAGCUGUAGUAUCUUUAAUCAAUUCGGCAUUUGGAACACUGUUUGGUACGUAUAAUUCAAUAUCCAACAAGGAUAGAGUAUUGAAAAU
This 714-nucleotide long non-coding RNA is filed under the name Bemisia tabaci. RNAcentral describes it as "lncRNA ENSSSA2NGG001438". Lineage: Eukaryota; Metazoa; Arthropoda; Insecta; Hemiptera; Aleyrodidae. The record is from RNAcentral.